RNAcentral lists this transfer RNA (91 nucleotides) under Streptomyces calvus. RNAcentral describes it as "tRNA-Gln". RNAcentral also lists the same sequence under 1 other name. Lineage: Bacteria; Bacillati; Actinomycetota; Actinomycetes; Kitasatosporales; Streptomycetaceae. The record is from RNAcentral.
CGCGCGGUGCGGCGGGCGUCGUCGGCGGCGCGCUGGGCGCCGCGCCGGUCCUCGUCGGCGGCGCGCGCCCGUUCCAGGCAGGCCUGGGCGC